This 28-nucleotide non-coding RNA is filed under the name Mus musculus (house mouse). The record is from RNAcentral. Lineage: Eukaryota; Metazoa; Chordata; Mammalia; Rodentia; Muridae.
UGAAUGUGUUACCUCACUCAGGAUGAUG